UACGUAGGGCGCAAGCGUUAUCCGGAAUUAUUGGGCGUAAAGAGCUCGUAGGCGGUUUGUCGCGUCUGCCGUGAAAGUCCGGGGCUCAACUCCGGAUCUGCGGUGGGUACGGGCAGACUAGAGUACAGAAGGGGCAACUGGAAUUCUCGGUGUAGCGGUGAAAUGCGUAGAUAUCGAGAGGAACACCUGCGGCGAAGGCGGGUUGCUGGGCUGAUACUGACGCUGAGGCGCGAAAGCCAGGGGAGCGAACGGG
This 253-nucleotide ribosomal RNA is filed under the name uncultured bacterium. Its description in RNAcentral is "partial 16S ribosomal RNA". It matches the Rfam family "Bacterial small subunit ribosomal RNA", at positions 524 to 776 of the family's 1533-position model. The record is from RNAcentral.